This 250-nucleotide non-coding RNA is filed under the name [Ruminococcus] lactaris. RNAcentral describes it as "Ruminococcus lactaris T-box sequence". It matches the Rfam family "T-box leader". From Rfam's summary of the family: Uncharged tRNA acts as the effector for transcription antitermination of genes in the T-box leader family. Lineage: Bacteria; Bacillati; Bacillota; Clostridia; Lachnospirales; Lachnospiraceae. The record is from RNAcentral.
AAGAAGGCUGUGAAGAGAAGAAGUAGCGGACAGAGGGACAUACAGAAAGUUGCCGGCUGAUGAGAGGCACAUGGAAGACUGUCAGCGAAUACAUCUUGGAGCUUCGCAUUGAAAUCCACUGUAUUUUGAGGAAAAGAUAAAUGCAGACAGGAGAGUAGGCUGCGACGGAGUUUGCACGUUAUAGCACAAAAGAGGCUGACAGAGAAAGGUCAGCGAAUUAAGGUGGUACCACGAGAGAUUCGUCCUUAUU